GCGGCCUAUCAGGUAGUUGGUGGUGUAAUGGACCACCAAGCCGAAGACGGGUAAGGGCCUUGAGAGAGGAUACCCUGAGAGAGACACUGAGAUACUGGUCCCAGCCCUACGGGGUGCAGCAGUCGGGUAAACUUCGCAAUGCGCGAAAGCGUGACGAGGGAAUUCCAAGUGCUUGCCUUAGGGCAGGCUUUUGCCAAGAGCAAAUAUCUUGGCGAAUAAGUGGUGGGCAAGACCGGUGCCAGCCGCCGCGGUAACCCCGGCGCCACAAGUGGGAACCACUAUUAUUUGGUCUAAAGCAUCCGUAGCAGGUCGGGUAAAUUUCCUGUGAAAUUGUUGGGCUCAACUCAACAGCGCGCAGGGAACACUGCUCGACUAGGGACCAGGAGAGGCAGGCGAUAUUCCCAGGGGAGCGGUAAAAUGCGAUAAUCCUGGGAGGAUCACCGAUGGCGAAGGCAGCCUGCUAGAAUGGAUCCGACUGUGAGGGAUGAAAGCUAGGGGAGCGAUCCGGAUUAGAUACCCGAGUAGUCCUAGCCGUAAACGCUGCAUGCUAGAUGUUGCACAUUCUUCGGGAAUGUGCAGUGUCGUAGAGAAGUCAUUAAGC
RNAcentral lists this ribosomal RNA (601 nucleotides) under uncultured euryarchaeote. Its description in RNAcentral is "bacterial SSU rRNA". It matches the Rfam family "Archaeal small subunit ribosomal RNA", at positions 217 to 820 of the family's 1478-position model. Lineage: Archaea; Methanobacteriati; Methanobacteriota. The record is from RNAcentral.